AGCAGCCGCGGUAAUUCCAGCUCCAAUAGCGUAUAUUAAAGUUGUUGCAGUUAAAAAGCUCGUAGUUGAAUUUCGGGGUUAGUAGGUUGGUCAUGCCUCAGGUAUGCACUGGUCUCACUGAUUCCUCCUUCCUGAUGAGCCGUAAUGCCAUUAAUUUGGUGUUGCGGGGAAUCUGGACUGUUACUUUGAAAAAAUUAGAGUGUUUAAAGCAGGCUAACGCUUGAAUACAUUAGCAUGGAAUAAUGGAAUAGGACGUUCGAUCCUAUUUUGUGGUUUCUAGGAUUGACGUAAUGAUUAAUAGGAAUAGUUGGGGGCAUUAGUAUUCAAUUGUCAGAGGUGAAAUUCUUGGAUUUAUUGAAGACUAACUACUGCGAAAGCAUUGCCAAGGAUAUUUUCAUUAA
This 401-nucleotide ribosomal RNA is filed under the name uncultured Glomeromycotina. Its description in RNAcentral is "SSU rRNA". It matches the Rfam family "Eukaryotic small subunit ribosomal RNA", at positions 569 to 976 of the family's 1831-position model. Lineage: Eukaryota; Fungi; Glomeromycota. The record is from RNAcentral.